Molecule: long non-coding RNA, 209 nt
Filed under: Lathyrus oleraceus (garden pea)
Lineage: Eukaryota; Viridiplantae; Streptophyta; Magnoliopsida; Fabales; Fabaceae
Description: Pisum sativum (pea) long non-coding RNA (PSAT_LNC011652)
Source: RNAcentral
AAAUGUUUUGCAUGUUUUAAUUGAGAAAUAUCAUUGUUUUAAAUAAAUAAAUUUUCAUAGCUUUUUUUUAAACAAAGUGAACAUUCACAAUGAUAAAAAGAUAUCGGGGAUGUCUUCAGCGCUCUCCCAGAGAUGGUAUGAUUCCCAACAGGGUAAGACAUUUGUUCAUAUUCCUAGAAUGCUUGUUUCCUCUUCCUCCGGAGCCUUUU